GUGCCUCCUUUGGCAGUACAUAUGCUACAUCUGGAACCAUACAGAGAAGAUUAGCAUGGCCCCUGCGCAAGGGUGACAUGCAAAUUUGUGAAGCGUUCCAUAUUUUA
Molecule: small nuclear RNA, 107 nt
Organism: Mesocricetus auratus (golden hamster)
Lineage: Eukaryota; Metazoa; Chordata; Mammalia; Rodentia; Cricetidae
Source: Ensembl